This 693-nucleotide ribosomal RNA is filed under the name Agaricostilbomycetes sp. AL-V. Its description in RNAcentral is "eukaryotic LSU rRNA". The stretch from base 171 to 324 matches the Rfam family "5.8S ribosomal RNA". The record is from RNAcentral. Lineage: Eukaryota; Fungi; Basidiomycota; Agaricostilbomycetes.
AUGCGGAAGGAUCAUUAGUGAAUAUAGGACGUCCAACUUAACUUGGAGUCCGAACUCUCACUUUCUAACCCUGUGCAUUUGUUUGGGAUAGUAACUCUCGCAAGAGGGCGAACUCCUAUUCACUUAUAAACACAAAGUCUAUGAAUGUAUUAAAUUUUAUAACAAAAUAAAACUUUCAACAACGGAUCUCUUGGCUCUCGCAUCGAUGAAGAACGCAGCGAAAUGCGAUAAGUAAUGUGAAUUGCAGAAUUCAGUGAAUCAUCGAAUCUUUGAACGCACCUUGCGCUCCAUGGUAUUCCGUGGAGCAUGCCUGUUUGAGUGUCAUGAAUACUUCAACCCUCCUCUUUCUUAAUGAUUGAAGAGGUGUUUGGUUUCUGAGCGCUGCUGGCCUUUAGGGUCUAGCUCGUUCGUAAUGCAUUAGCAUCCGCAAUCGAACUUCGGAUUGACUUGGCGUAAUAGACUAUUCGCUGAGGAAUUCUAGUCUUCGGACUAGAGCCGGGUUGGGUUAAAGGAAGCUUCUAAUCAGAAUGUCUACAUUUUAAGAUUAGAUCUCAAAUCAGGUAGGACUACCCGCUGAACUUAAGCAUAUCAAANCNGAGGAAGGAAAAGAUCUCUUAGGUNAAUAUAUGGGACGUCCAACUUAACUUGGAGUCCGAACUCUCACUUUCUAACCCUGUGCAUUUGUUUGGGAUA